Paramisgurnus dabryanus is the source of this 1016-nucleotide long non-coding RNA. RefSeq lists it as uncharacterized. The record is from RefSeq and is a predicted model, not a curated record. Lineage: Eukaryota; Metazoa; Chordata; Actinopteri; Cypriniformes; Cobitidae.
UCUCCCGGAAGUACGUCGUGUGCAGCCAGUAAGCCACGAGGAGAGGGUGAAUUUACGAAGGAGUUGUGUCUAUAUAUUAUAUAAAAUCUACUAUUGGUUGAAGAUCAACACAAACCAAAUGAAGAUGUUGUAGAUUCUACAAACAAUAAAAAAGAAGGUGAUGGCACACAUCAUGACAGUAAACAUCGGUAUCAAGAUGGUGUGAUUGAUCUAUACCCUAGAAUAAGCUGUGACACUGAUGCUGUGGUCACAUAAUGAACAGCCAUCUUACAGACAACCGAAAGAGUAUUGUCUACAAUCCCAAAUUCUGGAUUGACGAUCCAGUACCAGUGGGCACCCCAAUCCCAGAGAGCAUCCAUCUGAAACCAGGUGAGGUAACACAACGAAAAAAUUACCGGAUGGAGACUACCUGAUUCUUCACCUAUGGCCUCAGCUUCAAAUGCAAGAAGUCCAGCAACUGUCUGAGUUGGUGGAUAUUCUGUCAGAGACUCCGUGGACAACGUUAUGAAUAGGUUAUUUGUCUAAGGUGAAGUAAUCUUACAGUUCUUUCACAGAAUGAUGUGAAAUUGUCUUAUGGCAAAGUUCAAUAUGAAGGGUGGUGGACAUCUGGAAAAGAAGUCUUUUAAAGGCACACCUUUGUAUUAUGUUAUUCAAGAUGCUGUGAAGAGGUGGAGCCCAAAUGCCACCGAAUCGGAAAUAGAUGCAGCUAUGGCAGACCACCUCAAGCACGCUCCAGGAAGAGCUGGGGGUGGUGGAUACAAAAAAGCCUAACAGCUGUGAUGUGUUAAAGAGAGAGUUCACCAAAAAAGGAAAAUUGUUAUAAUUUUCUUAUCCACAUGUUUCAAACCUGUAUACCUUUCUAUUUUCUGCUGAACACAAAGAUUGAAGAAUGUUUGUAACUUCACAACCCAUUAACUGUCAAUAUUUUUUUUUUACAAUUGUAGUAAUGGGUUGUGAGAUCUGCUUUGUUAAAAACAAUAUAUUUAAAUAUCUUUGUGUUCAGCAGAACAUAGAAA